CCUUUUGAUUAAAUAAAUAUAAGAGGUCCAGCCUGCCCAGUGAUAGCAUUCAACGGCCGCGGUACCCUAACCGUGCAAAGGUAGCAUAAUCACUUGUUCUUUAAAUAGGGACUUGUAUCAACGGCACUACGAGGGUCGCACUGUCUCCUCUCCCCAAUCAGUGAAACUGAUCUCCCCGUGAAAAAGCGGGGUUAUAACUAUAAGACGAGAAGACCCCAUGGAGCUUCAAACCAACAGCAAUUUCAACCCCACCCAUUUCUACACAACACAUGAAAAUAUGCCUAUCGGUUUUGGGUUGGGGUGACCACGGAGAAAAAACCAACCUCCACGAUGUAAAGAACUAAAUCUUUAUUCCAGAGCUACACCUCCAAGAAUUAGCAUACUAACGAAAUGACCCACCUAGAUCAACGAACCAAGUUACCCUGGGGAUAACAGCGCAAUCUACUUCAAGAGCCCAUAUCGACAAGUAGGCUUACGACCUCGAUGUUGGAUCAGGGUACCCCAGCGGUGCAGCCGCUCCUAAAGGUUCG
This 530-nucleotide ribosomal RNA is filed under the name Theloderma annae. RNAcentral's name for it is "partial 16S rRNA". It matches the Rfam family "Bacterial large subunit ribosomal RNA", at positions 1819 to 2575 of the family's 2925-position model. Lineage: Eukaryota; Metazoa; Chordata; Amphibia; Anura; Rhacophoridae. The record is from RNAcentral.